AUAGCUCACUGGUCGCGUGAUCCUGCGCCGAAGAUUUCCGGGGCUAAAACUUACUACCGAAGCUACGGCAUCAGUAAUGAUGGGUAGGGGAGCUUCCCAUACGGGUUGAAGCAUGACCGUAAGGACAGGUGGACAGUAUGGGAGUGAGAAUGUUGGCAUGAGUAGCGAGAUGUGGGUGAGAAUCCCACAGGCCGUAAACCCAAGGUUUCCAGGGGGAGCGUCAUCUGAAAUGGGAUAGUCGGGACCUAAGCUGAGGCCGAAGGGCGUAGGUGAUGGACAACAGGUUGAUAUUCCUGUACUACCGAUAACC
RNAcentral lists this ribosomal RNA (310 nucleotides) under Clostridioides difficile. Its description in RNAcentral is "partial 23S ribosomal RNA". It matches the Rfam family "Bacterial large subunit ribosomal RNA", at positions 1137 to 1455 of the family's 2925-position model. Lineage: Bacteria; Bacillati; Bacillota; Clostridia; Peptostreptococcales; Peptostreptococcaceae. The record is from RNAcentral.